This is a long non-coding RNA of Thunnus maccoyii (southern bluefin tuna), 526 nucleotides long. RefSeq lists it as uncharacterized. The transcript is spliced from 4 exons. The record is from RefSeq and is a predicted model, not a curated record. Lineage: Eukaryota; Metazoa; Chordata; Actinopteri; Scombriformes; Scombridae.
GGUUGCAAAGCAGUGGUGGUGAUUAUUGUGGCCUUUACCGGCAUGCUCCAAGGAGAAGCUGAGAUAACAAAACCAUGUCCCUCCAGAUUUGAGUCAUCAAGAGGCAUGAGGGAGAAGGUUGGUACCUCAGGACGUCAAGGAAAGUUGUCAGUGUUGCCGAAGACGGCACUGAACAGGAAUGGCAUCGGAAUCAGAGGACAUUAAUACUGAGAGGAGCACAAAAGGAAACCAUGAGAAGGUGCAGAGCAAGAAGAGCAGGAAGAUGGUCAAAAAGAGGAUCAGUGAAUCCACAUGUCUGGACACAAGUGGGGAAUUCACCGCACAAACAGGAAGUACCACCUCGUUUUACAAGGAAAGGAAAGCAGCGUAGACCGCAGUAUUGUUCAAGUACACAGGAACUGAGUGAUGUCAGUUUUCUGUCAUGUCACGGUGAUCCUCUCUAGGAAUUCCAUUUGGACGGAAAAUGCCUCGCUAGCAUCCAGCCCCACCCAACUCCUCUCAGCUUGGAGACGUCUGCCUGCCUCGU